AGAGUUUGAUCAUGGCUCAGGACGAACGCUGGCGGCGUGCGUAAUACAUGCAAGUCGAGCGAGCUUGCCUAGAUGAUUUUAGUGCUUGCGCUAAAUGAAACUAGAUACAAGCGAGCGGCGGACGGGUGAGUAACACGUGGGUAACCUGCCCAAGAGACUGGGAUAACACCUGGAAACAGAUGCUAAUACCGGAUAACAACACUAGACGCAUGUCUAGAGUUUGAAAGAUGGUUCUGCUAUCACUCUUGGAUGGACCUGCGGUGCAUUAGCUAGUUGGUAAGGUAACGGCUUACCAAGGCAAUGAUGCAUAGCCGAGUUGAGGGGCUGAUCGGCCACAUUGGGACUGAGACACGGCCCAAACUCCUACGGGAGGCAGCAGUAGGGAAUCUUCCACAAUGGACGAAAGUCUGAUGGAGCAACGCCGCGUGAGUGAAGAAGGGUUUCGGCUCGUAAAGCUCUGUUGGUAGUGAAGAAAGAUAGAGGUAGUAACUGGCUCUUUAUUUGACGGUAAUUACUUAGAAAGUCACGGCUAACUACGUGCCAGCAGCCGCGGUCAAUACGUAGGUGGCAAGCGUUGUCCGGAUUUAUUGGGCGUAAAGCGAGUGCAGGCGGUUCAAUAAGUCUGAUGUGAAAGCCUUCGGCUCAACCGGAGAAUUGCAUCAGAAACUGUUGAACUUGAGUGCAGAAGAGGAGAGUGGAACUCCAUGUGUAGCGGUGGAAUGCGUAGAUAUAUGGAAGAACACCAGUGGCGAAGGCGGCUCUCUGGUCUGCAACUGACGCUGAGGCUCGAAAGCAUGGGUAGCGAACAGGAUUAGAUACCCUGGUAGUCCAUGCCGUAAACGAUGAGUGCUAAGUGUUGGGAGGUUUCCGCCUCUCAGUGCUGCAGCU
Molecule: ribosomal RNA, 888 nt
Filed under: uncultured bacterium
Lineage: Bacteria
Description: bacterial SSU rRNA
Rfam family: Bacterial small subunit ribosomal RNA
Source: RNAcentral